GCCUCCUUAGCUCAGUGGUUAGAGCACUGGUCUUGUAAACCAGGGGCCAUGAGUUGGAAUCUCAUAUGGGGCU
Molecule: transfer RNA, 73 nt
Filed under: Saccoglossus kowalevskii
Lineage: Eukaryota; Metazoa; Hemichordata; Enteropneusta; Harrimaniidae
Description: tRNA-Thr
Rfam family: tRNA
About the family: Transfer RNA (tRNA) molecules are approximately 80 nucleotides in length. Their secondary structure includes four short double-helical elements and three loops (D, anti-codon, and T loops).
Source: RNAcentral